AAUAAAUUAAAUACCGUUGGUGACUUAAAGCAAGGCAAACUUUAAGGAGAAUAGGGAAUCAGGUGCAAGUCCUGAGCGGACCCGCCACUGUAACCAGGAAAAUAUGCGGUAAGUUUAAGCCACUGGGGUAGCACUUUAGGGUUAUAGUAAGCUUCGGCAGCAGCAAUUUAUUACGGAAUAAAUGAACGGCAAGCGGCAUUGAAACUUUUAUAAACUGAGGCCACCCUGGGAAGGCAGCCAAUAUAAGUUAGAAAACUGGAGCCAGGAGACCUGCCGGCGGUAUAAAACCGGG
RNAcentral lists this non-coding RNA (292 nucleotides) under Peptococcaceae bacterium SCADC1_2_3. RNAcentral also lists the same sequence under 1 other name. The record is from RNAcentral. Lineage: Bacteria; Bacillati; Bacillota; Clostridia; Eubacteriales; Peptococcaceae.